UACGAAGGGUGCAAACGUUGCUCGGAAUCAUUGGGCGUAAAGCGCACGUAGGCGGCCUUGUAAGUCGGACGUGAAAUCCCUCGGCUCAACCGAGGAAGUGCAUCCGAAACUGCGAGGCUCGAGUAUGGAAGAGGGUCGCAGAAUUCCCGGUGUAGAGGUGAAAUUCGUAGAUAUCGGGAGGAAUACCAGUGGCGAAGGCGGCGACCUGGGCCAAUACCGACGCUGAGGUGCGAAAGCGUGGGGAGCAAACAGG
This 253-nucleotide ribosomal RNA is filed under the name uncultured bacterium. Its description in RNAcentral is "partial 16S ribosomal RNA". It matches the Rfam family "Bacterial small subunit ribosomal RNA", at positions 524 to 776 of the family's 1533-position model. The record is from RNAcentral.